AGGGUUUGAUCAUGGCUCAGAAUCAACGCUGGCGGCGUGCCUCAGACAUGCAAGUCGAACGAUUAAAGCUCUCUUCGGAGAGUGUAUAGAGUGGCGCACGGGUGAGUAACACGUAAGUAAUCUACCUUCGAGUGGGGAAUAACCCGGGGAAACCCGAGCUAAUACCGCAUAAUGCAGCGGCACCUAAUGGUGACAGUUGUUAAAGAUUUAUCGCUUGAAGAGGAGCUUGCGGCAGAUUAGCUAGUUGGUAAGGUAAUGGCUUACCAAGGCUACGAUCUGUAACCGGUCUAAGAGGACGGUCGGUCACACUGACACUGAAUAACGGGUCAGACUCCUACGGGAGGCAGCAGUCGGGAAUUUUGGGCAAUGGGCGAAAGCCUGACCCAGCAACGCCGCGUGAAGGAUGAAGUAUUUCGGUAUGUAAACUUCGAAAGAAUGGGAAGAAUAAAUGACGGUACCAUUUAUAAGGUCCGGCUAACUACGUGCCAGCAGCCGCGGUAAUACGUAGGGACCAAGCGUUGUUCGGAUUUACUGGGCGUAAAGGGCGCGUAGGCGGCCCCACAAGUCACUUGUGAAAUCUCCGGGCUUAACUCGGAACGGCCAAGUGAAACUGUGGAGCUAGAGUGUGGAAGGGGCAAUCGGAAUUCUUGGUGUAGCGGUGAAAUGCGUAGAUAUCAAGAGGAACACCUGAGGUGAAGACGGGUUGCUGGGCCAACACUGACGCUGAGGCGCGAAAGCCAGGGGAGCAAACGGGAUUAGAUACCCCGGUAGUCCUGGCCCUAAACGAUGAAUACUUGGUGUCUGGAGUCAUUAAUGCUCCGGGUGCCGUCGCUAACGUUUUUAGUAUUCCGCCUGGGGAGUACGCUCG
RNAcentral lists this ribosomal RNA (868 nucleotides) under uncultured Acidobacteriota bacterium. RNAcentral's name for it is "bacterial SSU rRNA". It matches the Rfam family "Bacterial small subunit ribosomal RNA", at positions 8 to 888 of the family's 1533-position model. The record is from RNAcentral. Lineage: Bacteria; Pseudomonadati; Acidobacteriota.